RNAcentral lists this ribosomal RNA (497 nucleotides) under uncultured bacterium. RNAcentral describes it as "partial 16S ribosomal RNA". It matches the Rfam family "Bacterial small subunit ribosomal RNA", at positions 28 to 507 of the family's 1533-position model. The record is from RNAcentral.
GAUGAACGCUGGCGGCGUGCCUAAUACAUGCAAGUCGAGCGAACGGACGAGAAUCUUGCUUCUCUUAUGUUAGCGGCGGACGGGUGAGUAACACGUGGAUAACCUACCUAUAAGACUGGGAUAACUUCGGGAAACCGGAGCUAAUACCGGAUGAUAUUUUGAACCGCAUGGUUCAAAAGUGAAAGACGGUCUUGCUGUCCCUUAUAGAUGGAUCCUCGCUGCAUUAGCUAGUUGGUAAGGUAACGGCUUACCAAGGCAACGAUGCAUAGCCGACCUGAGAGGGUGAUCGGCCACACUGGAACUGAGACACGGUCCAGACUCCUACGGGAGGCAGCAGUAGGGAAUCUUGCGCAAUGGGCGAAAGCCUGACGGAGCAACGCCGCGUGAGUGAUGAAGGUCUUCGGAUCGUAAAACUCUGUUAUUAGGGAAGAACAUAUGUGUAAGUAAAUGUGCACAUCUUGACGGUACCUAAUCAGAAAGCCACGGCUAACUACGUG